CAGCCGCCGCGGUAAUACGUAGGUGGCAAGCGUUGUCCGGAAUCAUUGGGCGUAAAGCGCGCGCAGGCGGUCCUUUAAGUCUGAUGUGAAAUCUUGUGGCUCAACCGUAAGCGGUCAUUGGAAACUGGGGGACUUGAGUGCAGGAGAGGAAAGCGGAAUUCCAUGUGUAGCGGUGAAAUGCGUAGAGAUAUGGAGGAACACCAGUGGCGAAGGCGGCUUUCUGGCCUGUAACUGACGCUGAGGCGCGAAAGCGUGGGGAGCAAACAGGAUUAGAUACCCUGGUAGUCCACGCCGUAAACGAUGAGUGCUAAGUGUUGGAGGGUUUCCGCCCUUCAGUGCUGCAGCUAACGCAUUAAGCACUCCGCCUGGGGAGUACGGUCGCAAGACUGAAAUUUAAAGGAAUUGGCGGG
Molecule: ribosomal RNA, 410 nt
Filed under: uncultured microorganism
Description: bacterial SSU rRNA
Rfam family: Bacterial small subunit ribosomal RNA
Source: RNAcentral